This is a non-coding RNA of Acanthosepion pharaonis, 109 nucleotides long. Lineage: Eukaryota; Metazoa; Mollusca; Cephalopoda; Sepiida; Sepiidae. The record is from the annotation of a GenBank genome assembly.
UGGCUAUAUCCUGCUGAAACACUGGUUCUUAUAUGAUUACUGAAGUUAAGCAAGGUUGAGCCUGGUCAGUACCUAGAUGGGUAACCGCUUAGGUAGACCAAAUGCUGUG